UCCACAAGGUCUGCAAAAAUUUCCCAGGGACAGAAUGGUAGAGGGAGUGAGCUAAAGUGAAUCAGUUUAAUUUCCAUGGAAAUUUUUUGCCUUCUCAAAAGCCGCAGAACCCACCAGAGUCUUGGGCUAACAAAUGUAAGAGCUACUGCAUUUGGGACAUGUCUUCAGAGAAGAGAAACAAGUCUGGAAGUGAGAUCUUUUAAUGCCCAACCACAGUGCUACAGAAGGCACAGCUUUUGAGCCCUCGGGGAAAAGCUCACAGAGAUCAAGAGAAGUAUUUUUGGGUAUCAAAGAAAGGACAAUCUAAUAAAAGGCAACCUUAGUUGGGGCCGGUGCUGUGGCGCUGCGGGUUAAAGCCCUGGCCUGAAGCACCAGCAUCCCAUAUGGGCGCCAGUUCUAAUCCUGGCUGCUCCUCUUCCAAUCCAGCUCUCUGCUAUGGCCUGGGAUAGCAGUAGAAGAUGGCCCAAGUUCUUGGGCUCCUGCACCCAUGUAGGAGACCCAGAAAAAGCUCGGGGCUCCUGGCUUCUGAUCGGCACAGCUCCAGCUGUUGCGGCCAUCUGGGGAGUGAACCAGCAGAUGGAAGACCUCUCUGUCUCCACCUCUCUCUGUGUUUCAAAUAAAUAAAAUUAAUCUUUAAAAAAAAAAGGCAACCUUAGAAGAAGGCCAAAAUCACCUGAAAUCAGUGGUACUCCCCUCUGUAUCACUCAGGUGACUUUUCUCACAUCCUCUUUUGUAAUCUCCUCUGUCAGGUAUUUCUAAACUUCCUGGAUCUACGUAAAAUCACUGAAGGCAAAGCAAAUCUUUGUACUCCGUUGCAGCGUUCAAACUACAAGAAGAGCUGGCUUUUAAUUGACUGAACCAUCCAAGAAAAGCUUUACCCACAAUACUGUUGCUCUUGAUAUAUCUGAACCACUAACCACACACCUAAACCAACCUCAGUUUGCAGCUGUCACAUUCAAGGUAGGUUCACACAUAUUCAAGCACCUUGCUAUGUUUUCUGAACAUUCUUCUCCAAAUAUUUAGAUAUUUAAAUGUCUAAAUAUAAUUUUUAAUCAACUUCACUUAUUUUUCUUUUAUAUUACAGUGAUGGCAUUAUACUGGUCUUUUGGAAACUGCAUGCAUAGAUAUAGAAAACCUGUGGAUUUCAUUUCAGCAUAGUAAAGGAUGCCUGCUCUAAAAAAAGAGGAGGUAUUGGCUUGAAUACAAUUUGACAGCCACUGAACCAGAAUGUGUGUGAGAAAGUGACUGGAGUUGUAAAGAUAAGACAGGGCUAAGUCACUGUGGGCUUACGGAAACAGACUGAGAAGCUGUUGUUCACUGGACAACAGGCAUACAUGACGCACCAGGGAGGCAUUCACAACGAGAAGCCCUUGUGUACACCUGAUCAAAGCUAAGCCUUUAGAAGAUGGAGCAGCAGCACCAUGUAAGGAGAACUUCAAGCCAAAGAGUCAGUCUGGACAAAUCAUUAGUAAUCUUGGCCUAUUACAGCAAUUCCCAAUAUUAAGGAUAAAGUGAAAAUGAAGAUCUGGAUGCAAACACUUCACUUGAUCUAGCUUGAAAAGAAUAACUGUGUGAGAGAAACUAUAUUUUCCAGGGAAAAAUAAACUGAAAGAGAAAAGGAACAAAAAUAAGAAGAAUGGAA
Oryctolagus cuniculus (rabbit) is the source of this 1642-nucleotide non-coding RNA. The record is from RefSeq and is a predicted model, not a curated record. NCBI's taxonomy places the organism in Eukaryota, Metazoa, Chordata, Mammalia, Lagomorpha, Leporidae.